UCGCAGUCUAAUAAUGUUAAACGCCACGUGUUGAAUUACACACAAAGAAACAAAUAAAAAGGAAAAAAACUUUCCCCCCAACUCUUUAAACAAAAAUGGCCUCAAGUGCUGGAAAGUACCAACAAAGUGAACUUAGUCAUAGCAUCCUUAACCCCCGAGCACAACAGAUAAUUGUACAACCUUUCCCGAGACACUUAUGGUCAAGAAAUAGUUAUGUUUGAUAUGCGACGAAGGACAUGAAACCAUAAUUGCCCAGCUGAUAAAAUUUCAAAUUGCAGUAUCAACUCUUCCUUAUUCAACAGAGCAUCGUGUUAGCAAAGCAGAAGUGAAAGCCUGUGAUCACUGAUAACUUUUCUGUUUGUUGCUAUCCUCCGGUGGCAGUAAUACAUACUGCAAGAUCUGCUCCACCUGUGCAACUUCUAGUCUAAACUUCUUGGCAAUCUGGUGGAUGUCCAUUGGUCCAUUGUGAUCAUCAGCUUUACCUUGAUGCAGAAGCAUGAUGUGGCGCAGCUGUGCCACAUUCAAAGUUCCUUGAGGAGCAGGUCUUUCUUCAU
This 554-nucleotide unclassified non-coding RNA is filed under the name Hevea brasiliensis (rubber tree). Lineage: Eukaryota; Viridiplantae; Streptophyta; Magnoliopsida; Malpighiales; Euphorbiaceae. The record is from RNAcentral.